CGCCGCCGUCGACAGGGGCCGCGCCGCCGACCCCGCCGCCGCCUACACCGUCGCCCAGUACAACUCCCCCUUCGAGUUCACCGGCCGGGUCAACGAGAUCUGGAUGUUCCUCGUCCUCCCGGAGGGCAUAAAGUCCAGCCAGUAGACCACUAGAGAGAGAAAGUAGAGAGAGGUGAUAAAGCAGCCUUUUGACUACGGCAUAUUUACGCUUCAGACCUCCGAAUAAACCCAGUUCCACGUGUAAAGCGUUUUGGCUCGAUGAUGUAUUUUUAAUUAAAGUCCCUGAAUAAUCGAUAAUAACCCCAACCCAAAAAGAGUCUGAUCAUAGAAGCAGGCGUGGGAAAAACCAACCGUUACGAGCGACCGCCCGGCGACCGUUUCUGUACGUUUCUCUUCUUCUUCUCCUCCAUCCUCAAGCUCGCACCAGACCAGUCUGUCUCUCUGUCUCUCUCUGUCUCUCUGUCUCUCUGUCUCUCUGUCUCUCUUUCUCUCUUUCUCUCUCUAUCUCUCAGUAGGGAGAGGGAGA
RNAcentral lists this long non-coding RNA (526 nucleotides) under Spirodela polyrhiza (greater duckweed). RNAcentral describes it as "long non-coding RNA (SPOL_LNC000025)". The record is from RNAcentral. Lineage: Eukaryota; Viridiplantae; Streptophyta; Magnoliopsida; Alismatales; Araceae.